RNAcentral lists this ribosomal RNA (879 nucleotides) under uncultured eukaryote. RNAcentral describes it as "bacterial SSU rRNA". It matches the Rfam family "Eukaryotic small subunit ribosomal RNA", at positions 116 to 1043 of the family's 1831-position model. The record is from RNAcentral.
AUNNUUUGGCNAAACUCUACAUGGAUACCUGUGGAAAUCUAGAGCUAAUACAUGCAGCUGCUUGCANCGCGAUUUAUUAGUUACAGCCAGGACGCGUUGCGUUGGGGUGAGUCACAAUAACUUUGGGAUCGCACAGCCUUGUGCUGGCGACAGGCCAUUUAAGCUUCUGACCUAUCAACUUUUGAUGGUAUGAUAUGGGCUUACCAUGGUGAUGACGGGUGACGGGGAAUUAGGGUUCGAUUCCGGAGAUGGAGCAUGAGAAACGGCUCCAACAUCUAAGGGUGGCAGCAGGCGCGCAAAUUACCCACUCUUGAAUAAGGGAGGUAGUGACAAAACAUAACAAUGCGGGGCAAUGCUUCUGCAAUUGCAAUGAGGGUGCUCUAAAAAAGCUCCCGAGGAACCAUUGGAGGGCAAGUCUGGUGCCAGCAGCCGCGGUAAUUCCUGCUCCAAUAGCGUAUAUUGAGGUUGUUGCAGUUAAAAAGUUCGUAGUCGGAAGGAAACACACUGCCUGGCACAGGCGGGGCUUUGCGCCCUGCCUGAACAUGCCAGGCUGGUGUGACACACAAACAGGGUCUGCUUCAUUGUGAACUGCUGGUGUGUGAGCUACUUUGAGGAAAAUAGAGCGUUCAAAGCAGACGGCUGUCUGUAUAUGUUAGCAUGGAAUAGCACAGUGCCAUUAGCUGCUGCUGGUUGGAGCCGAUGGAAUGGUUGAUAGGAGUGGGCGUGGGCGUUGGUAUUUCGUGGCAGAGUGAAAUUCUUGGAUUCGCGGAGGACCAGCAAGAGCGUAAGCAUUCGCCAAGUAUGCUUCCGUUGAUCAGAGCUAUAGUUUGGGGAACAAAGNCGAUCAGAUACCGUCGUAGUCCAACCAUAAACUAUGUC